Mus pahari (shrew mouse) is the source of this 453-nucleotide RNA transcript. It is a transcript of the gene named F-box/WD repeat-containing protein 15-like, with no coding region annotated. The transcript has 4 exons. The record is from RefSeq and is a predicted model, not a curated record. Lineage: Eukaryota; Metazoa; Chordata; Mammalia; Rodentia; Muridae.
UCAGUGUGGACUUAGGUUACAUAAGAUGGAGAUCCAUUUGCCUAGUUUGCCAUUGAUGAAAAUCUUCUCCUAUCUGGAUGCCUACAGUUUGCUACAGGUUGCCCAAGUGAACAAGAACUGGAAUGCACUUGCAAGCAGUGAUGUCCUGUGGAGGAAGCUGUGUCACAAAAGAUGGCUCUACUGUGACAUGGUCACCCUACAGCUCCAGGGCACAGAGACGUGGAAGCAGUUCUUCAUUUACCGAACAUGGCAAGAACAUGCCAAGUCCCGGGCAAAGCCAGAAGAUUUCAUUUACAAGGAAAUUCCUGUGGAGUUUGAAUAUUGGGCACAUCCAUGUUAUAUCUCAAUGCGUGGCUUAACAAGAAAUGGACAAGGGAAGUCUGCUGUCUGGUGACUUCCAUGAACAGGAUUUCUACCUGGGAUAUUCAGGAGGUGAGUCUGGUUGACAAGUAG